UACGAAGGGGGCUAGCGUUGUUCGGAAUCACUGGGCGUAAAGGGCGCGUAGGCGGCUUUGUAAGUCGGGGGUGAAAGCCUGUGGCUCAACCACAGAAUUGCCUUCGAUACUGCAUGGCUUGAGACCGGAAGAGGUAAGUGGAACUGCGAGUGUAGAGGUGAAAUUCGUAGAUAUUCGCAAGAACACCAGUGGCGAAGGCGGCUCACUGGCCCGGUACUGACGCUGAGGCGCGAAAGCGUGGGUAGCAAACAGG
Molecule: ribosomal RNA, 253 nt
Filed under: uncultured bacterium
Lineage: Bacteria
Description: partial 16S ribosomal RNA
Rfam family: Bacterial small subunit ribosomal RNA
Source: RNAcentral